GUAAAUAAUCAGUGCAUAAAAAAAACAUUUAAAGCUUAUAUAUACAACAAAUCACAAAUAUAUGCAUGCGUAAUAGUUUAAUACGAUAAAAGAAAGGGCUAUCUGGCAACGUAGAGCUCGCGUGGUCGACGGUAGACACUAUGUCGGAGCCUUCACUUGGCAGUGAUCAUCUCAGACUCGUGACGGUAGGGUGUUGUUGCUCGUGCUCCCGGGGGCCGAAAUAACCCGACUUGCACAGAAGAACAAACUUUCUGAGGAGCUAAAAAAACGAAAAUGGCUUGACUAUUUGAUGAUCCAGACAACAUGGAUUCAUUUGCUAACCACUGAAGGACUGGUGUGUCUGAGGGCGAGGGCGACGGCGGCGCAGGGAGAAGCAACGCGGAAUAGCGGAAGGAGGAACAUUGGGGGACGACGAGGAGAAUAAGAGGUA
This is a long non-coding RNA of Penaeus monodon (black tiger shrimp), 430 nucleotides long. RefSeq lists it as uncharacterized. Lineage: Eukaryota; Metazoa; Arthropoda; Malacostraca; Decapoda; Penaeidae. The record is from RefSeq and is a predicted model, not a curated record. The transcript is spliced from 3 exons.